CUCGCAGGGAGGAUGCUAGUUCUGGAAGUUAGUUCAUCAAAACACUCAGCACCAACUUCUUUUAAAGUUUAUUAUGCAACAACUUUUGGUAGUUGCUCCAUCCUGGUUCAUUCACUUGGUUGGAUUUUCUUGGCUUGGUGGAGAAAUUUUACUAUCUCUCUGGCAGAUAUGACAUUGAGCUGACUGUUGGUGAUGCUGUCAUGGAGAACUCUUUCUUAUGGCCACUUGGCCAUCUUGAAUUAGAUCUUCCAGAAGCACCUACUAUCAAGGCACCCCGUCUUCCUCCACUAGUUGUUGAUCCAUACACGAGAUAUGGGCCCAAAGGAGAGAUAACCCACUUAUUCAGGACUCCUGAAAGUAAAGUUGCUGUAGAAGGGAGAGUUCAGUUUGAUCUGCUCCAGGUCAGCUUCACCGGUUCGAUGGAGAUAAAGCUGCUAGCCUUGCUCUCUUGGGCAUAGUAUAUAACAAGGGUGAGAUAUGUGUUGAAAGUUCAGUUUGUUUGUUCAGAAAGGGAAUGUGCUGAAUAAUUAUAUUAAAAGAUGGAUUUAGGCAUUUUUUUCUUCCUCUUUCACACCCUGCAGGAAUGCUAUUGAUUCCUCUUUAUUCAAGCAAUGGUUGCAUAACUUGCAAAGUGAGAUUGGGAUUCUAGCUGAUGGCACCUUGGCUCUGAGACAAGUUCUAAUUCAGGUUCCAGGUAUUGUAUUUGCAAGAGGACCUGCUGUGACUGUGUUGAUACUUCUGGAAUCAGAUGGUGAAACUUAUGCUGUCCUUACUGAACAGGCAAGGGUUCCUACUGGAAGAAUUAUUUUGGAAUUGCCUGCUGGAAUGUUGGAUGAUGACAAGGGUGAUUUCGUUGGCACUGCAGUUCGUUGAAAAGGAGACUGGCAUAAAGUUCAAACUUGAAGACAUGGUUGAUCUCACUGCUUUCUUGGAUUCUUCAACAGGAUGCAGAUUUUUUCCCUCACCAACAGUAGAUUAUAAGAGACCAACCUAUGAAGAAGUUGAAAACCUCCAAGCCUUACUUCCAAGGGAGUGCAAUAUCUGCCAAAUGCAAAUCGGCGAAAUGGUGAACUUUAUGGAUUCAAAAUGUAGUUCAAUCCAUUUUCUUCACUAAUUUUCACUUACUAUGAGUUUGGAAUACCACUGCCACUAUUUGUAAAUGGAUGCUAGGUAGAAGCUGCUCAUUAGGUGCCUACUACUUUUUGUAAUAAUAAAGAUAAAUAGAUGUGCAAGGUGUUUGGAAUUUUUAUUCCUAUUAGCAUAACAAUGCUGAUGAAUUUUUAUAGUAGAAUGUGAACCUGGUUUAAUUUGGAAUUGUUAA
Molecule: non-coding RNA, 1321 nt
Organism: Arachis ipaensis
Lineage: Eukaryota; Viridiplantae; Streptophyta; Magnoliopsida; Fabales; Fabaceae
Source: RefSeq, a predicted model, not a curated record